CUACGACGUUGAUAGGUUGGGUGUGUAAGCGCUGUGAGGCGUUGAGCUAACCAAUACUAAUUGCCCGUGAGGCUUGACCAUAUAACACCCAAGCAAUU
RNAcentral lists this ribosomal RNA (98 nucleotides) under Pseudomonas putida. RNAcentral describes it as "partial 23S ribosomal RNA". The stretch from base 1 to 81 matches the Rfam family "Bacterial large subunit ribosomal RNA", at positions 2845 to 2925 of the family's 2925-position model. RNAcentral also lists the same sequence under 2 other names. Lineage: Bacteria; Pseudomonadati; Pseudomonadota; Gammaproteobacteria; Pseudomonadales; Pseudomonadaceae. The record is from RNAcentral.